GUGGGGAAUAUUGCACAAUGGGCGCAAGCCUGAUGCAGCCAUGCCGCGUGUAUGAAGAAGGCCUUCGGGUUGUAAAGUACUUUCAGCGAGGAGGAAGGCAUUAAGGUUAAUAACCUUGGUGAUUGACGUUACUCGCAGAAGAAGCACCGGCUAACUCCGUGCCAGCAGCCGCGGUAAUACGGAGGGUGCAAGCGUUAAUCGGAAUUACUGGGCGUAAAGCGCACACAGGCGGUCUGUCAAGUCGGAUGUGAAAUCCCCGGGCUCAACCUGGGAACUGCAUUCGAAACUGGCAGGGUAGAGUCUUGUAGAGGGGGGUAGAAUUCCAGGUGUAGCGGUGAAAUGCGUAGAGAUCUGGAGGAAUACCGGUGGCGAAGGCGGCCCCCUGGACAAAGACUGACGCUCAGGUGCGAAAGCGUGGGGAGCAAACAGGAUUAGAUACCCCUGUAGUCC
RNAcentral lists this ribosomal RNA (450 nucleotides) under uncultured bacterium. Its description in RNAcentral is "partial 16S ribosomal RNA". It matches the Rfam family "Bacterial small subunit ribosomal RNA", at positions 354 to 796 of the family's 1533-position model. The record is from RNAcentral.